GACGAACGCUGGCGGCGUGCUUAACACAUGCAAGUCGAACGGAAAGGCCCUGCUUGCAGGGUACUCGAGUGGCGAACGGGUGAGUAACACGUGGGUGAUCUACCCUGCACUUCGGGAUAAGCUUGGGAAACUGGGUCUAAUACCGGAUAGGAGCCAUCUUUAGUGUGGUGGUUGGAAAGUUUUUUCGGUGUAGGAUGAGCUCGCGGCCUAUCAGCUUGUUGGUGGGGUAAUGGCCUACCAAGGCGGCGACGGGUAGCCGGCCUGAGAGGGUGUACGGCCACAUUGGGACUGAGAUACGGCCCAGACUCCUACGGGAGGCAGCAGUGGGGAAUAUUGCACAAUGGGCGCAAGCCUGAUGCAGCGACGCCGCGUGGGGGAUGAAGGCCUUCGGGUUGUAAACUCCUUUCGCUAGGGACGAAGCUUUUUUGUGACGGUACCUAGAUAAGAAGCACCGGCUAACUACGUG
RNAcentral lists this ribosomal RNA (466 nucleotides) under uncultured bacterium. RNAcentral describes it as "partial 16S ribosomal RNA". It matches the Rfam family "Bacterial small subunit ribosomal RNA", at positions 28 to 507 of the family's 1533-position model. The record is from RNAcentral.